This 482-nucleotide ribosomal RNA is filed under the name uncultured bacterium. Its description in RNAcentral is "partial 16S ribosomal RNA". It matches the Rfam family "Bacterial small subunit ribosomal RNA", at positions 30 to 507 of the family's 1533-position model. The record is from RNAcentral.
AUUGAACGCUGGCGGCAUGCUUUACACAUGCAAGUCGAACGGUAACAGGCCGCAAGGUGCUGACGAGUGGCGAACGGGUGAGUAAUGCAUCGGAACGUGCCCAGUCGUGGGGGAUAACUACUCGAAAGAGUAGCUAAUACCGCAUACGAUCUAUGGACGAAAGCGGGGGACCGUAAGGCCUCGCGCGAUUGGAGCGGCCGAUGUCAGAUUAGGUAGUUGGUGGGGUAAAGGCUCACCAAGCCAACGAUCUGUAGCUGGUCUGAGAGGACAACCAGCCACACUGGGACUGAGACACGGCCCAGACUCCUACGGGAGGCAGCAGUGGGGAAUUUUGGACAAUGGGCGCAAGCCUGAUCCAGCAAUGCCGCGUGCAGGAAGAAGGCCUUCGGGUUGUAAACUGCUUUUGUACGGAACGAAACGGCUCUGGUUAAUACCCGGGGCUAAUGACGGUACCGUAAGAAUAAGCACCGGCUAACUACGUG